RNAcentral lists this ribosomal RNA (462 nucleotides) under Streptococcus infantis. Its description in RNAcentral is "bacterial SSU rRNA". It matches the Rfam family "Bacterial small subunit ribosomal RNA", at positions 28 to 474 of the family's 1533-position model. Lineage: Bacteria; Bacillati; Bacillota; Bacilli; Lactobacillales; Streptococcaceae. The record is from RNAcentral.
GACGAACGCUGGCGGCGUGCCUAAUACAUGCAAGUAGAACGCUGAAGGAGGAGCUUGCUUCUCCGGAUGAGUUGCGAACGGGUGAGUAACGCGUAGGUAACCUGCCUGGUAGCGGGGGAUAACUAUUGGAAACGAUAGCUAAUACCGCAUAACAGUAGAUAUCGCAUGAUAGCUGCUUGAAAGGUGCAAUUGCACCACUACCAGAUGGACCUGCGUUGUAUUAGCUAGUUGGUGAGGUAACGGCUCACCAAGGCGACGAUACAUAGCCGACCUGAGAGGGUGAUCGGCCACACUGGGACUGAGACACGGCCCAGACUCCUACGGGAGGCAGCAGUAGGGAAUCUUCGGCAAUGGACGGAAGUCUGACCGAGCAACGCCGCGUGAGUGAAGAAGGUUUUCGGAUCGUAAAGCUCUGUUGUAAGAGAAGAACGAGUGUGAGAGUGGAAAGUUCACACUGUGACG